This 491-nucleotide ribosomal RNA is filed under the name uncultured bacterium. Its description in RNAcentral is "bacterial SSU rRNA". It matches the Rfam family "Bacterial small subunit ribosomal RNA", at positions 29 to 507 of the family's 1533-position model. The record is from RNAcentral.
AUGAACGCUAGCGGCAGGCUUAACACAUGCAAGUCGAGGGGCAGCAUGAGACGGAGAUUCGUCGAAGUCUUGAUGGCGACCGGCGCAAGGGUGCGUAACGCGUGAGCAACUUGCCCGUUUCUGGGGAAUAACCGGUGGAAACGCCGACUAAUACCCCAUAGCAUAUUUAGGAGGCAUCUCUUGAAUAUUAAAGAAUUUCGGAAACGGAUAGGCUCGCGUGACAUUAGCUAGAUGGCGGGGUAACGGCCCACCAUGGCAACGAUGUCUAGGGGUUCUGAGAGGAAGGUCCCCCACACUGGAACUGAGACACGGUCCAGACUCCUACGGGAGGCAGCAGUGAGGAAUAUUGGUCAAUGGUCUGACGACUGAACCAGCCAUGCCGCGUGAAGGUCACGGCCCUAUGGGUCUUAAACUUCUUUUGUAAGGGAGCAAUAAGUCUCACGUGUGGGAUGAUGAGAGUACCUUACGAAUAAGCAUCGGCUAACUCCGUG